CGACCGGCGCACGGGUGAGUAACGCGUAUGCAACCUACCUAUCAGGAGGGGAAUAACCCGGCGAAAGUCGGACUAAUACCGCAUAAAACAGGGGUUCCACAUGGAAAUAUUUGUUAAAGAAUUAUCGCUGAUAGAUGGGCAUGCGUUCCAUUAGAUAGUUGGUGAGGUAACGGCUCACCAAGUCCACGAUGGAUAGGGGUUCUGAGAGGAAGGUCCCCCACACUGGUACUGAGACACGGACCAGACUCCUACGGAAGGCAGCAG
RNAcentral lists this ribosomal RNA (264 nucleotides) under uncultured bacterium. RNAcentral describes it as "partial 16S ribosomal RNA". It matches the Rfam family "Bacterial small subunit ribosomal RNA", at positions 92 to 354 of the family's 1533-position model. The record is from RNAcentral.